This 301-nucleotide ribosomal RNA is filed under the name uncultured bacterium. RNAcentral describes it as "partial 16S ribosomal RNA". It matches the Rfam family "Bacterial small subunit ribosomal RNA", at positions 509 to 809 of the family's 1533-position model. The record is from RNAcentral.
CAGUCGCCGCGGUAAAACGUAGGGUGCAAACGUUAAUCGGAAUUACUGGGCGUAAAGCGUGCGCAGGCGGUGUUGUAAGACAGAUGUGAAAUCCCCGGGCUUAACCUGGGAACUGCAUUUGUGACUGGCGAGCUGGAGUAUGGCAGAGGGGGGUAGAAUUCCACGUGUAGCAGUGAAAUGCAUAGAGAUCGGGAGGAACAUCAGUGGCGAAGGCGGCCAUCUGGGACAACACUGACGCUGAGGCACGAAAGCGUGGGGAGCAAACAGGAUUAGAUACCCCAGUAGUCCCUGUCUCUUAUAA